This 388-nucleotide ribosomal RNA is filed under the name Clostridium sp. PETROMIC H03. Its description in RNAcentral is "bacterial SSU rRNA". It matches the Rfam family "Bacterial small subunit ribosomal RNA", at positions 69 to 456 of the family's 1533-position model. The record is from RNAcentral. Lineage: Bacteria; Bacillati; Bacillota; Clostridia; Eubacteriales; Clostridiaceae.
AUGAACUCCUUCGUGUGAGUGAAUUACGGCGGACGGGUGAGUAACACGUGGGUAACCUGCCUCAUAGAGGGGAAUAGCCUUCCGAAAGGGAGAUUAAUACCGCAUAACAUAGCACUACCGCAUGGUAGAGUUAUCAAAGGAGCAAUCCGCUAUGAGAUGGACCCGCGGCGCAUUAGCUAGUUGGUGAGGUAACGGCUCACCAAGGCGACGAUGCGUAGCCGACCUGAGAGGGUGAUCGGCCACAUUGGAACUGAGACACGGUCCAGACUCCUACGGGAGGCAGCAGUGGGGAAUAUUGCGCAAUGGGGGAAACCCUGACGCAGCAACGCCGCGUGAGUGAAGAAGGCCUUAGGGUUGUAAAGGUCUGUCAUAUGGGAAGAUAAUGACU